GGGUUCUCCUGGAAUAUAGGUAAUGGCAAGAGAGCUAGAUUCUGGGAGGAUCAUUGGUUUGGUAACGCUACCUUGGCUACUCAAUAUUGGGAUCUUUAUAAUUCGGCUCAUGAGCAUAACAUAACUAUUGAGAAAGCUUGGAAUGGUAGUCAUCUUAAAAUUACAUUUAGGAGAUGCUUUUACCAAGAGUUGUUGAAUCUUUGGUUUGAGCUCCUGGAGAUUGCUAAAACUAUAUUGUUUAAUGAUAUGGAUGACUCCCUAGUCUGGUAUAUGAAUUCCAAAGGAGUCUAUACAGUUAAAUCCUUUUAUAAAUUUGUUAACUUUAGGGGAGUGUUGCAAGCUAUAUUGUGUUAUAUCCUUUGCUUGCUUGUGUGCUUAUUGUUGUUGCAUCAUAUAGGUUGCUCACCUAGUUGCAUAUCUAGACAACCUACUUUGAUGCAAUGUUUAAAUUGGUAA
Molecule: ribosomal RNA, 456 nt
Filed under: Triticum aestivum (bread wheat)
Lineage: Eukaryota; Viridiplantae; Streptophyta; Magnoliopsida; Poales; Poaceae
Description: partial small subunit ribosomal RNA
Source: RNAcentral